CUUAGGUAUGCCAUGAGAUCUGUACAUGGAUGAGAUUUCAAUAUUGCUAUUAUUACUUAAGUUAAUUAUCGUAUUUACAAUUCUAAUCCUACCCUGUUGAACAAUUUCUGUGCUCUGAACCAAGUUUCUAUUUACGAAUACUAUAACUCCGUCAUUCCUAUUUAUCCUACUAUCAUUAUAGUAAGACACGUACUCAUAGUUACUCCCGAUCAGUUCAAAAAAAUUAUGAUUAACCUGCUCAAAAGUUUCAGAAAGAACAACAGCAGAUGGUUUGACGAUCAGACUUUCAAAAAAUAUUUUUACCUUACCAAAAUUUGCAUUCAUGCUUCUUACAUUUAAGUGCAUAAUUAUAUCAUUUUUGUUGGUAAUUGCCUUGUUUAGAUCGCCAAUACCACUGUAUGUUUUUCCUUUCUGCAUUGAAUCCUUUUGUAUUAUAUCUAGAUAAUCAAAAGUAUCCAUUUUAUUAAUUUAAGUUUUACUGCUUCUUAACCUUGUAUUUUUUGCUGGAGCAGCAGGUUGAAUUGGUGUUCUAGCAAUCUUCGAUUGUUGAUGUUGCUGCUGCUUGGCUGCUUCACUCCUUUCAUGUCUUUAUUUUGUAGAUUUAGGUAGUUCUUGUGAAGGCUGUUUCAUUGUGUUGUCUGUGGUUGUGUUGUGUGUAUUAGUAGUAUUGUAACGUUCUCGAUAGACUUGAUGUACUGCCGGUAAGGUAGGCCUAAUAGGAUAGUCAGUGGAGUCUAUAUAUAGGCUGAUUUUUUUCUUCAGGGUGUUACACUGGUUUGUAUCGUUAGCAGCGUGGUUGACGUCAAGCUUUGUAUUAUAUUUGCUGUUUGAAAAAACACAAUUCAGACACUUAAAGGCGCUGUUUGUGCAGGUACUAGUCCUGUAUUUUUCUGCGCACUUGAGGCAUACAGAACUGUUGUUGCAUUUAUUACCGUUGUGCCCGAAUCUUCCACAAUUGUAACAUGGAUUUAUAUUUAUAGAGUCAUGUACUUUGCAAUUUUGGUAGCCAACAAAAAUCCUGCUUUUAUUCUCCUUGAUGAAUUUGUAUAUAUCCGCAGGAACCUCCAUCAGUACUGUAGUUAAGCCACUGUAAUUACUUUUGUACAUAUGUAGUACUUGUCCCUUGUUAGUAAAACUCCCAAAAUUUCUCAUGUUUAUGUCAUCCUCUAUGUCCUCCAUUUCCAUGUUACUGUAGUUGUAGAUUUCGACAAUUUUGAUUUUAGGAUUCUUCAACGUAUCUUUCCUAACCUCACAUAUGUCUUCAAAGUUAUGUUUCAAAACCGAUUCAGUCAACACUGCACUUUCACAAUUCAAGCAAUUGAUAACAAGUUCUUCUUUUCUGUUUACGUACAAGUUUUUUGUUUGUAUCUUCUUUUCAGUAACUAAGCACUCUAUAACUUUCUUUUUGACAUCCACUGCUUUAUUACUCACAUAUUUUACAGUUAUCUUAGGCACUUUCUUUGGUAACAGUUUAGGAAACCUUGUAACUUCUACAUACGAAAAACUAGCCGCAGGGCUUUCAUUUUGUUUAUUUAGCAAUUUUUCUCUAAGUAGUAUGUUUUUUUCCGUCAAUUCGCUGACUAGCUGUUUCAGAAGAAGGUUUUCAUUUUUUAUUAGAUUGUACUUUCCUUCAAUAUUGAUGUCAAGUUCAUCCUGUUCUGCUGUUGAAACUUCAAGUAGUAGAUCUCUCCUUACUUCUUCCGUUUUAUUCAGUUUUAUUUGUGCAAUCAGUAAUCUUGUUGCAUCGUCUAAACCUUCCUCUUCUAUUUUUGAGGUUAGGUUUGUGUCACUAUGUUCUGGGCACACUAUUAAGUUACCACUUAUGAAUUUGAUGUCGGUUGUUUUUUGUGCUAAACAACUAAAAUGAUAUACUGCAUCACAUAUGAUGCAAAAUAAUGUUGUUGAAGUUUUAUUGCUAUGAUACUCAAAAUUUGAGACACACUUAUCGGGAGGCAUCCGCACUCCCGCCAUGUUGCUGGCUCAUAUGACUUAUUAAUAGUUAUUUUCUGUUGUAUCCAAUUUUUAUUUAUUUACAAAAUCGUAAAAUUGUAUACCUGAAAAAAACUAAAGUCAUCUAAAGAAAACUCUAGCAAACUUAAUAAAACUGAAGGCAACAGAAAAUUAUUGUUGUCUGCAUCUUAAUUCCGACAUUUUUUUGCUGUCAUCUGCAGUUCAUAACUGUUUUCUUCAGUUGUUUUCAUUUUUCUUUUUCGCUAGGGAUUUAACAUAUCGUUAUCAUUUAAAGGGACACAACACUUUUAAAUCCUGAAAAAAAGAAUUAUGAGUAAAAAUAACUAAAUUAAAGUAAAUCAUUUGAAAUUUUGUUUAGUGUAUUUAGUAUAAAUACCUUCAACUUUACUGUGCUAAAACGUUAAUUAUCCCUGUUGGCCUACUGUGGCACGCAGUGCAAUGUAACAAGCACGCAUUCACGCGCUGCUUCUAUACGUCGUAUACGCGACUCACACGAGUGGAGUGUUGUGUUGUUGUCAAAUACGCGGCGCACCUCGCGCGAAUGCAAUAACCUGACCAUAGUUAUUUCCUGAAUAUGCACAGUGCUUAUGAUGCUAUACACUGUUUUAUUAAAUACAUAUGCGUAGAGAGCAGUGAAUGCAUCAUUUUUUAAUACAUUACACUUUUUUAAAAACACACAGGACUAUAACCAUAAUAAAAUUGCAGAAAAUCAAUCACAUCCGGGCUAUAAAUAACGUCGCUUUUUUUAAGCCGCGGCCGAGAUACAGUCUUCUCAAAGUCAACGACCAGAUACGGCCUUCUUGCACAAAGAUCGCGAUACGGCGCAGUUGUUACACAGUGUCGGAGUUCUGGAUAAGCUGAAGGUUUUGGAGUUGUCUGCCGGUGAUGUUGUGUUUGUUGAUUGUACGGGCCUGCUGCCGUUAUUAUUGGACAUCCUUAAUCGACUGGGCUUCCGGUAUUGCCGAUCUCCUGGGCUCCUCGUUGACGUCUACCUCCUCUUUCUCGUCCUCAAACUUGAUGAGAUCGUUGCCGUACGCACCGCCUGAAAGCUGCUACAGCUGUUGCUCCUUGCUCGAGUGCAGGCUUUUGGUCGCAGGAUGUUGAGCGCGAAAGACAUGUGUGGCAUGAUCGAAGUCGCACCCUUUAGGUCGAGCUGUAAGUUGCUAUAACGGAAGAUGAAGGAGUCACACCUAGUAGUCUUUGAUUUUUUUUGGAGGAAUGCUUGAAUGAGGUUAUGAAAGAGGAGAAUAAAGUAGAGUUGCUGUAAAGGAGGCUCUGGUGUAAUUAGCCAAUGUAGUCGUGAUUUAAUAGGUGACAGGGUCGUCGUCGAACUCGAGUGGCGAGAGCUUGAUGAAGUUGAAACCGAUCCUGGAGUUGCCGCGAAUCACGCUAUCGGUAUCGUUCAUGAUGUCGCAGACCAGCAUGUUCUAAAGCGAUUGGUCAAUCCUAGUGCCCAGUCCAAGUACGGUCCCUGGUCUAAAAUGCUGCAGUGUCUUACUUUCCGUAUCCAACAUUUACGCAUUGGGCCUGUCACUGACGAUCCACGCUAGUGCUUGAAUCGUUCUGAUGGCCGCCCAGCUCUUAUAUAGAUACACGAAUAUUGACGGACGAUGCAUUAGCGGUUGCACGAGUAUCUUUGUUCUAUAUUGGGUACUAUUUAGACGGUUCCUGCCAGUAGAGAAAGCACAAACUUGUCCAACGGAAGGACCAAAUUUCUUGGUUACCUUUUCCAAUAAUCCGUCAGAGUUUAUCACCAUGCAGCACCUGUAGAAGCACUUCCACAGUUCCGACACUUAAAACGCGACACUAUUAAUGCAUCACAACUUGAAUACUGGCAAGAGAAUUUCAUAUAUUUGCGUAAUAUUUAACUUUAUUGAAAACCAUAACAAUUUCUAAAUUCCAAUCAGCACAGCAGAAAAAAGCAAAAUACUUAACUCAAGCAUGAACGAGUGCAGCAUAUUUAUUCCGAAUUUCUAACUUAUGAGAAUAAAGGCAUACUCCGAAACGAUGAUCUGGAGAUUCUAUUUGCGGCAUGAACAAACACCUUAAAUUUUAUUCAAAAACUGCUUAACCUCUUAAUCUAUAGCCGAUAUUUUGGAGUGGCUAACUUCAAAAAGAAUUGACAAGAGAUUUGUAAGUGUUGUGUCCCCUUAAAAUCAGUUGCUCAUACAUACGCGUCAACAGAUUGAAAUAUAGGUCAAAUAAGUGAGAUGCAAAGAGGUUAAAAGGCAAUUUUAAAGUAUAUUACACAGUGUAUAAAACUUAUACUUGCCAUCGGAGCGCUACCGCGCCCCUUGAUAAACUGUACAAAAGGUUCAAAUAAGAUUAAAAUAACCGUAGACAAUUAGUUGUUCAACUCUUAUUUAAUAAAAGAUUUGUUUACUCUUA
RNAcentral lists this long non-coding RNA (4359 nucleotides) under Nasonia vitripennis (jewel wasp). Its description in RNAcentral is "uncharacterized LOC116416279". Lineage: Eukaryota; Metazoa; Arthropoda; Insecta; Hymenoptera; Pteromalidae. The record is from RNAcentral.